Molecule: ribosomal RNA, 505 nt
Filed under: uncultured bacterium
Lineage: Bacteria
Description: partial 16S ribosomal RNA
Rfam family: Bacterial small subunit ribosomal RNA
Source: RNAcentral
GACGAACGCUGGCGGCGUGCCUAAUACAUGCAAGUAGAACGCACAGUUUAUACCGUAGCUUGCUACACCAUAAACUGUGAGUUGCGAACGGGUGAGUAACGCGUAGGUAACCUGCCUGGUAGCGGGGGAUAACUAUUGGAAACGAUAGCUAAUACCGCAUAAUAUUGAUUAUUGCAUGAUAAUUGAUUGAAAGAUGCUAUUGCAUCACUACCAGAUGGACCUGCGUUGUAUUAGCUAGUAGGUGAGGUAACGGCUCACCUAGGCGACGAUACAUAGCCGACCGGGGAGGGUGGUCGGCCCCACUGGGACUGAGACACGGCCCAGACUCCUACGGGAGGCAGCAGUAGGGAAUCUUCGGCAAUGGACGAAAGUCUGACCGAGCAACGCCGCGUGAGGGAAGAAGGUUUUCGGAUCGUAAAGCUCUGUUGUAAGAGAAGAACGGGUGUGAGAGUGGAAAGUUCACACUGUGACGGUAGCUUACCAGAAAGGGACGGCUAACUACGUG